GAGGGCGGGCAGCGCCGGGCCCCGGCUCGACGCGGCGCGGUUCGCACUUACUCCGCGGGGCCUCCGUGGCGGCGGCGCGGGCCCGGCGGUGCCCCGGGAGCGGCGCUCUUUGCACCCAUUGACCAAAUUCAGAAAGUACAAAGCAUCUCUCUACUUGUAGAGAAAGUAAGAUGCUGUCCCCACAGUGAUCUUCCUUCACCACGGGUGCACCAGCAGUGCCACUGAAAUCAAAAGAGUGUCUCACUGUUUGUCCCGAAGGACCUCCAUCAAUUGGAAUCAAUUAUUUCUCCUUAACAAAGAUAUGGAGUUUUUCCCCGGUUGUUUCUUCUCCAUAACAGUCCUGGGCUGUGCACAAACAUACCAACAAACUCAGCCGAAGUGCAGAUUUUUUCUUUAAAGUAAGUGGACCCGUUAGGCCAUGUUAUUAUUUAUAAGAGCAUAGUCUUUUAAUUCUCAUGAAACUAUUUCCAGCUCAUCACAAUUUUGAGAUAUUAAAGACAGGUUACACUAAUUCCCAUUAAAUUCAGUAAUCAGACUCACCCUGGCCCAUGACGAUGGGCUAUAGUAGGAAGCAGCAGAUUGUGCUGCCUUAGGUGAGCUUUUUCUUACUGUGGUCAAGCAGAUUAGUUUGCCCUAACACACCUGAGGGGAGGAUAUAAUCUGUGGGUAGUAAAACAGUGGUCCAUAGGCUAGAAGACACUUAAGUGAGGAUGAAGUCACAGGUCCACCUGCUCCCUUCUGGUGGAGUGUGAAAUGGAUAAGAGCACAAACGAGUCGAUAGAAAUCUCAGGAAGCAAGAAGGAGAAUGGGACAUCUGUAACGUAAUUUCUCCUGGGCUCGUGUGGUGCAGCCUAAACUCCACACUGUACAGAGAAGUUUUUUGAGAUUCACAAGCUUUGACUGAGCACAUGGUUGAGUACUCACACUGUGAUCAUGAGAGGUGCGAGCCCACUUAUCAGAAUGAAGGAGUGGGCCUCUUUCCAGCUGCCCUGGGCAGUACGGUGAUGAGCAUUUCACGUUUGCUGAGAACUGACUUAGCAGUUUCUGUUGGCCUUCUGUAGGUUUCUGAGUCGUUCAUGUAAGAAGGGUCAAGUGAAACCCAUGUAAUAUUUAGGCACAGAGUAAAAGAAUCGGUAUAAAUACCGUUCACAAUAGGUGAUUGAUAAAUGUGGGCUAUGGGCCAAAAUGUUUAAGACAAGAUGUUUAAAGUAGAGUUCAUACCACCAUCCUAAUUCCUAGAGACCAAUCUGGGGAGCUUCCAGCAUCUGCUGCUUCCACUGGGGUAACAAUGAGUUGUGCUCCUCCGUGCCCAAAGCUGUCAGCUCACCUGCUGCAGUCAUCCCCUUAUCUGUGGUGGAAACCUCCAAAACGUCACGUGGCUUAUACAGCCUACAGCUCUAUCUAAAAACAGUUCAGGGCUUCCUCAUACAGCUAAAGAAUUUCAGGAGGAAUAGUAAGAACACAUAGUUGGACUGACUAACUCCAAGUCCUGAAGCUGCAUUAUCUUUGAUGGCUGACAGGAGCUCCAAGGUGAACGGUUCUCUCUCUGUUGUUCUUUCACUCCUCAAAGCAACCACCUCUCCAGACCCGAGAGCUCCUGGCAGGUAUGAUGGACGGCAAACCCUAAUGAAGGGUGUGGUUUGGCUGGAAGCAUCAGGACUUAGCACGCCGUACAAAUUCUCAUCUGAAAUGGGAGAAUCAGGAGCCAAUUUCUGGAACAUAAUUUAUUCCAGACACUAGCUGGAAUAAACAGCAUUCUGUAACCUCCUCAGAUAUUUUGCCAGUAGGGAGCUGUCUUUACACUUCUUUCAACCGAGUCAGUGAUCCAAACACAAAAUUCAUCACUCAAGAACACAAUGUGGUUUUACAGACUCGAGGAUUUGAGUUCAUUACCACGGACAUUACUGAGCCCUAUCUGGAUGUUUUUCGCUCUGUGUCAGACCCACAGCAGCACGCUGCUUGCCUUGCCCUGAGCAGUAAAAGCAGCAGCCCUCGGUCCAUCGUGUGGUCUAACUUUCUAGAAGCAACUUGAGCAUGUGCUCAGUUUCUAAAAUAUUCAUUGUUUUACUUCAGUGAAGUUUCGCCCUGGAAAAGCAGCGUAAAAAUAAGACCUCCUCGCUCAGUAAGUGCUCUCUUGUCUGCCUCAGAGUCUGUUGGUGUCUUUCAGUAACAGAAAGAAAACAGCAAUGCUUUUGCCCCCACUUCCCUGCAGCAGCACAUAUGCAGCUGUGGCUGGGGAUGAGCUGGAUUCCAGCUGCCCUGGUGCUGCCGUUCAGAACAAAGGCACUGCCACGAGUGCAAACCUGGGUGCCCAUGUCAACACAGCCUGGUGAAAUGGAGCUUUCCAGCUCCGGAGAUACGUGUCAUCCUCUGCUCGGUGCCACUAAAAGCAAAGUCCCACACUGAAUUUUUAUCAGUAGAAAAAAAUGCAGAGGGAAAACUUACUGGAGUGGUUUCUGAUGAGACAUUUCAGAGGCAGAUGCUGUUCCCUCUGACUUCCAAUGGAUUUCGAGCAUUUUUUUUCAGUGUCUGUGAAAUCAUCAACUGCUUUCUAAGACCCAACGUUGCAAACAGCUGCGCUUGUGAUUAUAAUGAGCCCGCUUAUGGAGCUAGGUACGAGGGUGUACACAUACAGAAGUUUCCUUUAUGAAACAAAUGCUUCAAACCAGAUCGUAAAUUAUCAAAGAAAUCCUAUUUUAUUGCCUUUUAUGAUUUCAGCUCCCUGUUGCUUUUAGUUGUCCCCCCUCUCCCUGAUACUCGUGAAGACCUUCAAACCGAGCGCUGCACGUGAAAUAGAACAAUAUCGUUUGCUUUGGUCUCUCUAAGAACACAAUUCCAGACGAGGUUCUUCAACAGCAAAGGCCUGAAGUUAGAAACCUGCGUGCCUAACAACGACACCGAUGGGGCUGAACGGUUCUGAGUGAUAACCCGCAUGUUUAAGGUCCCAAACACGGUUUUGUGCAUCAGUGCUGUGUGAGACGCUCGUGGAAGCUGCCCGGCACAGAGCGACUACUGCAAAUUUGAAACAGCAAUUUCCCAUAUUCAGUUCAGUCAAAGGUGCCUUAUCUGGAAUCUCGGGAAACUUCUUUGUAAAUGUGCCUCGUUUUCCUGAGAAGGUUAUGGCUCCGUUUAACUCCUAGCAGUCCGAGAGGCCGGUCUGUGUAACUUAAUCGUCUUGUUUACGAUCUAAGCCUUGCUUAUCUAUCAUUAUUCUAUCCUCAGGAAGAUCAUAAAAGAAAAUUACUCGGUAUAUUCGAGAAAACUGUGUUCAUAAGGAGAUGUUCAAAUGGUUUUACCAUUCCCACCCUCGGAUCUCCUUGUAAAUAUUAACCCACGAGGCACGGAUGUGUUGUAACGAGCAGAAAAUAGAAGAGUAACGUUGUUCUAAUGAACGAAAGGAUACGAAGGCACUGCAGCACAUUUCUGACACAUCAAGAGGAAAAAGAUAUAUAUAUAUGUCCUCAGCUGUGUGAGGAAAAGUUGUUUAUCACCUUCUGUAGGUUUGUUUGGGCCUCUUCUGCGCACACUUCUGGGAUCACUCCAGACAGCGAACUCAUUGGGAAUAAAUUGAAGGAAACGCUGCAAGUUUUAAGGAAAUAUCCUCCCGCGAUCAAAGCGAAACGUGUGGAGCAGAGGCAAAAAGCGGUAUCUGUGGCACAGAGCUCCGGCGGUGCUGCGGGACCGGGACUGCUCCGUCCGUUCCCCCGGGGUGCGCGAAACCGGCUGUGCUGCGCCCCGGCGCUGAGUUGGGCGCUGAGUGCUUUGAGGGGACUUCCCGGCCUGAGGCCCUUCAGUUGUUUUAAUUGGGAUUUGGGGUUGGGGGGGCGGGUUGGAACAGAGGACAUGAGGUGGGGCUGGGCCAGUCCGGGGUGUCGCAGCGGUGACCUCCUGCAGCACUUCGAGGGUGUCGGGGGAAGGCUUUCGGGGCUGCUCCUUGCGCAUUGCCGCCGGGGGGUUCUUAUGCCCAGGAGAAAACUGGGACGUCAAAAAGGAUGGGGGAAAAAAAAGGACGCGCCCUCCCCCUCCCAACAAAACAAACAAAUGCAACAGAACCAGGCAGACAACAACAAAACAACACCCCGAAACCUUUCGCCUGAAAACCGACUCAUCGCUGCUGCGUAACAGUCUCCUAAACACGAGAAGCUGACGUGACUUUGUCCCUUUCGCUGUUCGCAGUGUCUGAGCGCAGCAACUGCCGAUGGACGCGUUCGGCUUUGAAGUUAUGGAAAUGGCUUCGCAGGCAUCAGCCGGUAUGAUAAUAGGUUUCAUUCUGGCUCGCUAGCUACGAGAUGGGAAAAUGCCAAAAAAACGCAGCUCUCUUCCGGGGUAUCUGAAAUGUUCGGUCCCUCCUCCGAGAGGCAUUUCGGUGGGAGGCCAAGCUCGGAGAGAUGAAGGACUGCAUAUGUUCAAAAUUACGUUUUCGACAGAAAUUCAGAUCUACCGCUUCGUGUUUAAACGUGAAGUGGGACAGAAGCGAGGGGCGAAGGGGGGCGGGGGGCUCAGCGUACAGGAAACAUCACUGGGAAACCUGGAAUGUAGCAGCAAGGAUCAAAAGUUAAUGGCCUAUUUGAUGUGAAAAGUGAGCCGGGGAUGCCUGAGAGCGAAAAGAGCCGGCGGGACGCACCGCGCCGCCGGACGGCCCCCGCCCCGCGCAAACAGCGAAGCCAAAAAUAGCGCGCAGGUAGGAGCGGCUCCCCGCGCCUUGCUCCGGCUGUUUCCCGCGGGUCCCGCAGCCCCCGCGGCGACGAGUUGCGCGCAGUGCGCAGAGCGGGGCGGUGCGCGGGGCGGAGCAGCGAGCGCAACGCGCGCAAGGGCUGCGCGGCCGUGGGCGGGCAGCGAGCGCAGGAGGCGUCAGCCCUGUCCGCACACCGCGUGUGUCAGCUCCUGCCAGCGCCUGGUGGAAACGAAGGGCUUAAAUGACGCGCAAAUUGCGCGGAAUUUGAGACAACUGAGAAAACUUUCGAGGAGCAGACCGUUUGCUCCUCCGCACUGUGGAUGCUGCACCAUCUCGCUGCUGAUAAAGCUGGUCAGAAAAUAUCAGCCGCUGGUUCAACCCAAAGAUUUCAGCCACCCCACAGGGCUUAAUGAUAUUUUUCUAAAAAUAACGCGCUCCCUUGUGCCGUUUAAUUUCUCCUGCUUUAGCAUACGCUUUGAAUUAAAACCGUUGACAAGACUGUAACGAAAAUACUGAUUGAUGUAAACAUGGCCUGAAACAAAUCCACGCUUGAUUGUUUCUCUGACGAUGCUGAUUAAAGCCAACCCGCGCUUCCCCCGCGCCCGGCCGAGGUCUCCGACUUUGUCGGGCUGCGGCGGUGCCGGAGUGCAGUGCGAGGGCCGGGGAGACGGGCAGAAAUGCGGCAUUUGUUGGGCAACCCGAGCGGAUUGGAGGAGGCAUUAAGUACAUGGAGCGCAGUCAUUUUCUCCCUCGUUGGUCCCAUCCCAGCCUCCAGAUUUAUUCAACUGUUGAGAGAAGUCUGAAGUCAGCCCAUUGCCAGCGCUAGAAUGAAAAGGCGAAGGAAAGCCAAAAAUGCCUGUGGUCUCCGUAAACUACAUUAAAUCGCGGGGGUUUUCUAUUUAGGUGGAUAAUGAAGCGCGUAAAACGGUAGAUAAAAAUCAGUCGCUAUGGACUGUCUAGGAUUUCGUCUGUUUUUAUUAAUUUUCAUAGGAGAUUUGAAGAUUUAAGGGAUCUCUGCGCUACGAGCGGGCGCUGCGGCUGAGCUCACCCUCCGGGGACAGCCUCGGAGGCAGCGUUGUGCCACCGCCCCGCCGCCGGCAGCGCUCGGCCCGAGUCCCCCCGGCCCCUUCCACCGCCACGCUCAGCCACCGGGGCCGGGUGCGAGGGAAAAGGUGCCUCUGCGUUCCGGGCAGAGCUCCCCGGCCCCCGGCUCUGGCAGCAUUUGGGUUGGGGUCCCCCUGGGAAUUCUGACUUUUUGGCGGCGGCGCUGCGCGGUCUUUAAAUAUAUUCUCAGAGAUACGUCUAUCGUCGGAAAUAAGCGAAUAUAGGGGAGAGGGGAGGAUGCUGGAUUUGUAUUUGGGCACAUUCCCGCAACGGCGUCAGCCGAGUCGCGGAGCAAAACCCGCGAUCCCCGAGCGACCUCGGCGCUGAGGUCUCCCAGGGCAGCGCUCCUCCUCGGCCGGAGCCGUGCG
RNA transcript from Gallus gallus (chicken), 6147 nucleotides. It is a transcript of the gene named translation initiation factor IF-2-like, with no coding region annotated. Lineage: Eukaryota; Metazoa; Chordata; Aves; Galliformes; Phasianidae. The record is from RefSeq and is a predicted model, not a curated record. The transcript has 2 exons.